This is a non-coding RNA of Phascolarctos cinereus (koala), 5901 nucleotides long. Lineage: Eukaryota; Metazoa; Chordata; Mammalia; Diprotodontia; Phascolarctidae. The record is from RefSeq and is a predicted model, not a curated record.
UCAGGGAAAGCCUUCGGAAUUAGACACGAGCUGCCUCUCAGCCUAGCUACAAAGCGCUCUAGACCUGCCCUGCUCAAUGGAGAAACAGAGCUUGCCUCCCUUCUGAAAUCCCCGGGCUCGGCUGGGCUCUCCUCCAGCCCCGGGAGGGAGGCCUACUUGCUCCCAGAAGUGAGGGGGGCCCCAGAGGAUGCCUGGCUGGAGCUGGGCAUGGCCAAAGGCAGCGCCAUAAGGAAUGCCAGGUUUCCAUUUGAUUAAGCAGCUGAGAGGCAUGAGCGUGGUACUGGUGCUGUUGCCCACAGUUCUGCUUGUGAUGCUCACGGGUGCUCAGAGACCUUGCCCCAGGAACUGCAGAUGCGAUGGGAAAAUUGUGUACUGCGAGUCUCACGCCUUCGCAGACAUCCCCAGGAACAUUUCUGGCGGGUCCCAGGGCUUAUCGCUGCGGUUCAACAGCAUCCAGAAACUGAAAGCCAAUCAGUUUGCGGGUCUCAAUCAGCUCGUGUGGCUCUAUCUGGACCAUAAUUACAUCAGCUCUGUGGACGAGGACGCCUUUCAGGGGAUCCGGAGGCUGAAGGAAUUGAUUCUGAGCUCCAAUAAAAUCACCCACCUGCACAACAAGACAUUCCACCCGGUUCCUAACCUCCGGAACCUGGACCUCUCCUACAAUAAACUGCAAACAUUGCAGUCAGAGCAAUUCAAAGGCCUACGGAAGUUGAUCAUCUUGCACCUGAGGUCCAACUCCCUGAAGACUGUGCCCAUCCGGGUUUUCCAAGACUGCCGGAACCUGGACUUUCUGGACCUGGGCUACAACCGCCUCCGAAGCCUUUCCCGGAAUGCUUUUGCGGGCCUCUUGAAGCUGAAGGAGCUCCAUCUGGAGCACAACCAGUUUUCUAAGAUCAACUUUGCUCACUUUCCCCGACUCUUCAACCUUCGCUCGAUCUAUUUGCAGUGGAAUCGGAUCCGCUCGAUCAACCAAGGCUUGACGUGGACUUGGAGCUCCCUUCACAACUUGGAUUUGUCAGGGAAUGAUAUUCAAGGGAUCGAGCCAGGCACUUUUAAAUGCCUGCCCAACUUGCAGAAGUUGAAUCUGGAUUCCAACAAGCUCACCAACAUCUCUCAGGAGACUGUCAAUGCCUGGAUCUCUUUAAUAUCCAUUACCUUGUCAGGGAACAUGUGGGAAUGUAGUCGGAGCAUUUGUCCCCUUUUUUCUUGGCUUAAAAAUUUCAAAGGAAAUAAAGAGAGCACAAUGAUAUGUGCGGGGCCUAAGCAAAUCCAGGGGGAGAAGGUCAGCGAUGCCGUGGAAACGUACAACAUAUGUGCUGAGAUCCAGGUGGUGGUGACAGAGAAAUCCCAUCAGGCCCCGCAAACUCCCCAGAAGCCUCUGAUUGUUCUCAAACCCACGGUCUCCAAACUGGAAACCACUCAACCGACUCCAAUCACACCGAGCCCUUCCCCGGGUUUUCCGAUGCCUGGCACAGAGCCAGAGUAUGAGCACGUGUCGUUCCACAAGAUCAUUGCUGGCAGCGUGGCCCUCUUUCUCUCUGUGGCUAUGAUCCUCUUGGUCAUCUACGUGUCUUGGAAGCGUUAUCCGGCCAGCAUGAAGCAACUCCAGCAGCAUUCUCUCAUGAAGAGACGCCGGAAAAAGGCCAGAGAGUCUGAAAGACAAAUGAACUCCCCGUUACAGGAGUAUUACGUGGAUUACAAGCCAACAAACUCUGAGACCAUGGAUGUAUCCGUUAAUGGAUCGGGGCCUUGCACAUACACCAUCUCUGGCUCCAGGGAAUGUGAGGUAUGAACCAUGAUCCUCCUAAAAGCAUUUCAGCUGCUGGGAAGGAGAGGGAAAUGUUUGAAGCGCUUGAGGUGUCUCUGAUCACUAGAAAGAUUAAUGAGCCUUUUGCUUUGGGGUUUUGCUCAGUGUGAAAGGUUAUUUAAUUAAAUUACAACCACCAGGAAAGUGACUGUGGUUAUUUUUAAAGGAGUUGAGACUUGAAGGAAGUUCAUUCAAGGAUGAGAUUAAGUUGGAAUAAACCUCCGUGUUACAGCAUCUACUUCUUAAAGUUUGUACAUAGGGGUUGGACUUUUUAAGAACUGUUUUUGUUUCUUUUGUCUUUCUUUCCUUUUUUUUUUUUUUGGUAUGGAUUUGAUGUCUGGUUCUUGGUUUUCUGGUUUGUUUAUUUUUUUUUUAAGAAAUAUGAAUGAAGGAGGGGAUAUGUUAAUAAAAAAAAAUACCAAAAUUGCUGGAUUUGAAGAGGAUAUAAACCAAAGAGAAAUUGACCAAGGGUUGAUUUUGCUGUAAAUGUUUCAGUUUCUAACUUAAGUAGGUAAUAGCUAUGUCUAACACACAGGGAUACCUGCCACUUUCUACUUUCCAUCUCAAACUUUAUACCAACCUAGAGAAUGUCAGGAGUCUGCUCUGCCAGAAAUGCAAGGAGGUUUUAUUAUUAUUAUUAUUAUUAUUAUUAUUAUUAUUAUUAUUAUUAUUAUUAUUAUUAUUAUUAUUAUUUCAAUGUGUGACUUUCCCUGUCAUCAGAAGGGCCUGUGACAUUUUUUUCUGGUUUGUUUUUAAAGGCAUAUUAUGUUUGAGUUUUUGCUAGUUGUCUGGAAUCAGAGGAUUUGUGUACCUGUAACAACAUGUCAAGGGAUAGCCUCUACAGGGCUGUGAUACUAUAGGUGACUUAGCCAUUAUACAAUUCAAGGCAUGAGAUGAACUGUCUGUCAUUGCUGGUGUCAUCCCAGAAAGAAAUGAUGUGAAUUGUUAAUCUCUUUGACUAAAACUGACCACAAAUAACGUUACAGAGAAGGGCAGGGGAUUGAGUUUUGACUAUUUUCUCUUUCUGUACAUUUAGCCUCACCUAAUGUUUCAAAGCGGUGUUUUAAAGGAUUGCCUCUUAGCUUUUGUUUUUAAGGUUUGAGGGAAGAAAUAUUAUCAGUGAUGAACAUACAUUUUGAAUCCUUUAAGUCCUAAGAUAAAUUAUGGGUACAUAAUGAAGACCAGAAAAAAAAAGUUACAGCCCCCUUAGUCCCUGCCCCUAGCUCAUAAUUAGGGAUAUAUUAAUAGUAUUCUAAGACAAAGUUAACCUUAAUACAUGAAUAAUUAUGGUGACACUAUCAUCCCACUACUCUAGUAAAAGGAGGGGCUCAGAACUGGCAGGAGGCUGUCUGAUAUUCUAUUUACAGUUACUUGCCUUUGGAAAAGAGAUUUUCCAUGAGAGUUUUAAGCCAUGUGACUCACAACACCCUCCCCCCAUCCUGCCCACUGUUUCCAUAUCAGCUAAACAAUAUAGUAAAUUUCAUCUAGCUUUUAACUGUCUCUACUCCAACCAGACUUCAAUACUCAAGCUGGUAAGUAACUAAAACACUUUGGGGCAAAUCACUGAAGUUUAAAUAACCUACAAAUUAGCACAAUGAGGACUAUUGAAAAGCAUUUCAAAUGGUGAAUUUUUUAUCUUUCUUUGUAUAUCUGAUACAGUUUGAGAAUCAAUAGGAAACGAGACAUCCAGGUUAUAAAUUCCUAUCUGAAUACUGGGUGGUAAUGGAGGACCUUCUAAGAAGGCCUGCAUUUUGAGCCUUCAUUAGCACUUUAGAAUGCUAACUUUGAUGAAGAACCUCCUCUCUAUUGGUGCCUUAUGUUUUCUACCCACUUAAAUGCUGGGCAAGAUGGAAUGGAAGGGAUGACCAUCCUCUCCACUAAGUUAAUUGGGUAUCCUUGCUUUAUCUAAUGACUGAUGCUUUUUCCUUCCCUUUGGAGAAGUACUUAAUAGGAAGGAAAUUCACAGAGGCAUUUGAAAGCUAGUAGGGACAUUAGAGAUCACCAAGUCCAAUCCCAUCAUUUUACAAUUGAGGCAACUGCAUCUUUGGGAGAGAAAUUGUUUUAGCUAAAGCAAAACACCUGAUUAGCACCACACCCAGGACUAGAUCACAUUUCACUUGCUGUAAUAUCCAUUAUUCUUAUUGUUCCUGUUGUUUUUCAUACUAUGUCUUUCUCUUUCCAAUGCCAAAAUGUGUGAAGAAAUAUUUAUACAGGAAACAUUUAUGUAGAUUUUCUUUUAAUAGAGGGGUCUCAAAGAAACCUUUAUGAGUUGGUAAACCAUUGUUCCUCUCAAAAAAAAUAUCCAUAGUGCAGUAUUUAUGAAGGAAAUACUGGAUAUCAGACAUGCAGAAAACCUACCUAGCUAGAGAGACCAGUUAUGAUAUCAGUAUCUUUUUUUUAAACGUCUGUACUAUUUUUGCUAGAAUGGUUCCUGAAAGAGAAAAACAAAACAAAACAAAGCAAAACUAAUCAUGUCCAUUAGCUAAAUUUAGACAGUCAAGUUUUCUCAUGUUCCUCAUGUUCUAUAAAUACAGUGGGAUUUUCUCAGUUGUUAAAUUCUCUAAGAAACUCAAAGAGUUAUUAAUGCCCUUGAUUGUGCAGAACAUGAAACAGUAUCCAGAAGCCACCACAAAGACACUAUAGGCUAAGAUAAUAUUAUCUUUGAUGCCAUAGUUAAAAGUAUUCACUUUUGAAAAAUGAUUAUAAACCAUAUAGUACUUACAAGUCAAAUUACAGAAAGGAAGAUUAUAGACAUAUAAAUAUAUAUUAUACACACAGAGGUAUAUGUCUCUCUCUCUCUAUAUGCAUAUAUAUACACAAAUAUAUGUGUGUAUAUACAUAUAUAGACAUACAUAUAUGUUUCUACUUUUUCAAUUUGAUUUAUAAGCCAUAACGUACACAUAUGUGUAUAUAUAUAUGUCUUUAUACAUACGUAAAUAUGUAAACAUGCAUAAUAUUUGGCAAUCAUAACUUCUAUUAAAUAGAAAGCAGACAUGAAACAAUUAUUAACAAUGAAUAUUCUGAUGGAAGGAAUUAAAACACCUUAAAAAUAAUAGAUUCCUAAGGCACGAUGUUUGCAGUUAGGGUUGUCACACUGUGGUUAGCCUAGCAGGGUUCCUUACUACUCGUUCACAGAGUGUGACUAAGGAGAGAAGAAGGAAUGUUUAAACAACUCUUCCCUAACUUUAAUGUGUUGAUCGAAAGAAAAAAGAAACUAAAUCGUUACAUUUUCUUGCUUUUUCUCAUGAUAUUUUAUUGAUCUUUUGCUAAAUGGAACCAUCUGACUCACAUCCUGAAGGACUUUUCUUCCAUCCUUAAAUACGUUUACUUAUUUAUUUAUUUAUUUACUUAUUUAUUUAUUUCUCAAUGAAGGGGUCAUACAGAAUAAACCAGUGGCUGCUUCUGUCUCUGAGUGUUUCAUUUUUAAUUUUAUCAUUGAAGCUAAAUCAUUAUAGGAUUAAUGACCUUAAGUAAACCAAGAAAUUGGGGAAAGGAGACAUGGUGGAGAGUACAGUGGAAAGAAUAAAUUCAUCAUCAGCCAGAAAAUCUGAAUUCACAUUCUUCUGCGUUUGUGAUGUGUCAUCUGUAUGACCUUGAGCAAAACUGCUAGGAGACUCCUAAGGACCCCUCUAGCUCUAAGUCUGCAUUCCUAUGAUUUUUAAUCUUUGCUUUUAAAUAAAAAAUACCACGGUAAAAUCUAGGAAAAGAGAAAAUGAAUCCUUGAAAAAGGCACCUUAUUGUAAUCCCUUCAGGGUUAAACAAUGAUAGUUUUAAAAGCUGGUGAAUGAUUCUGUUUUUGUUUUUGUUUUUAUAGGGGUACAUGUAGCUGUAGGUUGAGUUCAUUUGCAUUUCUUUGGGAUUUUAAAUGUCAGCUUGUCUCUAUCUUUAUUGGUUCCAAGAAGAUUGUGACUAUGCAGUCCUAAUCCCUUUUCUAUUCUCUGGCUAGGUGCAAACAAUCCAGUUUCCUAUUUCUCUUGACUAUUUUGUAGACACUUUAGACACUGACUUUUUCCAAGUUCCUGAAUGGCAUCACUUCAAAGGCUUGGAAAGGUCCCACACCAUAUGAAGACGCUGCCCUAUUACAGCUAUGAUCA